Thamnophis sirtalis is the source of this 1974-nucleotide non-coding RNA. The record is from RefSeq and is a predicted model, not a curated record. NCBI's taxonomy places the organism in Eukaryota, Metazoa, Chordata, Lepidosauria, Squamata, Natricidae.
AGUCCACUUCAUCAGAUAAAUGGAAUGUCAUCCCUUAGGAAAGUAUAACCUAUGUUUAGAAGAGAGAAUAGCAAACUGUAGGCUUAACAGAAAAUGAAAUAUAGGAAUUUCAGAUUGUGGCAUAGUCUAUGCACGUCAUAGUUUUUGAGUGUGGCAUAUUUUGCAUUUUGAGGUUGCUUACACAUAUUAGCUAAGAUGUUUGUUGCUGUUUAGAUAAAUGGUACCCAUAUUUUUGUUUCUUGACAUUUCACUCUUUUAUUUCUACCGAUAUUUAGGGACAGAUUCUUUUUGAUUCUACCUCCAUAUAAAAGCUCUUCACAAACAGUUGUCUAUUUUAUUAGUUCAGAAUUAAUUGCAUGAUUUAAAAAAAAUGUAUUAAAAUCUUCCAUUUUUUUUACUCAAUACUCAGAAACAUAAAAUUGUUGAAAUUGGCCCUUUUUGUAUUACAGAAGAAUCUACAAAAACAAGCAACGACCUUUCGAAUUCUUCUUCUGCAGAUCCCCUUGUAAAAUGAGACCUCUGAACUCUAGAGCAACUCUCAUUGGUUGAAAUUGAUGGGACCAGAGUGACAUAAAACAUCCACCUCAUCGGUCUGAUAAGUGAUCCAGAAGUGCUGUGAAAUAUCACAUAAUUUACUGUAAUACUCACUCAGCACAGUUUUGGAGUUCCAGACACGUAUGCUAUUUUGAUCUAAGAUGUGGUUGAAAAGGGGGCAAAUUUGUUAUUGGAAAGCUUUAAAAUAUUCUUAUACCUAAUGGAUUCAAUAAUUCUAAAUGCAUCAAAUUACAUCCUUAAUAUGGUUGUUAUUGCUUGUUUUCCUACUGCAUAUAAUUCCCCUUGGGGAAAAAAACCCUGUCUAAUUCAUAGAUUUUACCAAUUAGACUGCUGACUUAAAUGGACAACUUGUAUUGUCCCAGAGACUGUAUAAAGCAUACUAAGCUUAAGGUAGCUAUGUGCUGUAAUAAACAUACUCAUUUUCAUACCUUUUUGGCAUUUAAUUUGAGAGACUCCUAUUUUAGAUACACGGCUUAAACUGUACAGUGUUAACUAAACUAACAUCUUUGUGAAAUACUGAAAACAAAAUCCUGAAAUUAUCUAGAUUCUAAAAGCAUGUAUAUGUAAUGUUGUGAAUAUGUAUACAUAGAGCUUUGUGAAUAUAGUGAUGGUUGCUACUCUUACAUUGAAAUUGUAAAACCAAGUAAUGGAAAAAUAUGGUAAUUUGGGCCUUGAAUGCAAAUCUGUUCUUGGGAGCCUAAUAUUGUGUCCUUCUGCCACAGAAAGAGAAAUUGUUAUACUGCUUGGUCUUUCAGUAGAUACAAGUCUUUCAUGGCUGUUAGAUGUGUGGCAUAUUAAACAUGGGAAUUGGGAAUUAUUUAACAUAACAGUAUAGGAUCGGUGGUAGGUUCAGUAAGACAUGGAAUUAUUAUUUGCCUUCUCCCGUUUCAUCUUUUGAAUAAUCUGUCUUCCAACAUGGAGACAGUAGCUAUGGCAUCUUCUCCAUGUAUUUUAUUUACAAAAGCAUGCCACAGAGAGAUUUUUCUCUUUCAAAUUCUUAAUCUUUAUUUGUAAGGAAUCUUUUAUUUUCUAUGAAAUAAGUAAUUGAACACAAAUGCCUAGGUCACUUCCAGUAAGGUCCUCUUGGCUAUUACAUGGUCUUCCAGAAUAAAAUCACAAGGCCUACCAGGAGGGAUAGGGAUUGACUCAGCAAAGCCAUGAAUAUUUUGUACAUUUGUAUGUUUGAGCUUCUGCCAAAGUUUCUGAAAGGGAGGUCCUGUUUGUCAUUGAUCUAUUACUCUGAUCUAUUCCACCUAGGUUCAAAUUCUCAGGAAUGAAAGGGACAAAAUUAUAACAUGUCUUACUCUAAUUCAUUACACAAACAAAAUGAAACAAAACAAAAAAAACCUGUUACCUCAAUACUUUAUUCUGUUAGAUAUUCUGUACAUAAUGUUAAUAAAUGCAACUUUGGAAAAAAAA